CUGCGGGGGAGGAGGGAGGGGG
This 22-nucleotide microRNA is filed under the name Gallus gallus (chicken). Its description in RNAcentral is "gga-miR-1770". Lineage: Eukaryota; Metazoa; Chordata; Aves; Galliformes; Phasianidae. The record is from miRBase by way of RNAcentral.